UGAACGCUGGCGGCGUGCCUAAUACAUGCAAGUCGAGCGAACGGACGAGAAGCUUGCUUCUCUGAUGUUAGCGGCGGACGGGUGAGUAACACGUGGAUAACCUACCUAUAAGACUGGGAUAACUUCGGGAAACCGGAGCUAAUACCGGAUAAUAUUUUGAACCGCAUGGUUCAAAAGUGAAAGACGGUCUUGCUGUCACUUAUAGAUGGAUCCGCGCUGCAUUAGCUAGUUGGUAAGGUAACGGCUUACCAAGGCAACGAUGCAUAGCCGACCUGAGAGGGUGAUCGGCCACACUGGAACUGAGACACGGUCCAGACUCCUACGGGAGGCAGCAGUAGGGAAUCUUCCGCAAUGGGCGAAAGCCUGACGGAGCAACGCCGCGUGAGUGAUGAAGGUCUUCGGAUCGUAAAACUCUGUUAUUAGGGAAGAACAUAUGUGUAAGUAACUGUGCACAUCUUGACGGUACCUAAUCAGAAAGCCACGGCUAACUACGUGCCAGCAGCCGCGGUAAUACGUAGGUGGCAAGCGUUAUCCGGAAUUAUUGGGCGUAAAGCGCGCGUAGGCGGUUUUUUAAGUCUGAUGUGAAAGCCCACGGCUCAACCGUGGAGGGUCAUUGGAAACUGGAAAACUUGAGUGCAGAAGAGGAAAGUGGAAUUCCAUGUGUAGCGGUGAAAUGCGCAGAGAUAUGGAGGAACACCAGUGGCGAAGGCGACUUUCUGGUCUGUAACUGACGCUGAUGUGCGAAAGCGUGGGGAUCAAACAGGAUUAGAUACCCUGGUAGUCCACGCCGUAAACGAUGAGUGCUAAGUGUUAGGGGGUUUCCGCCCCUUAGUGCUGCAGCUAACGCAUUAAGCACUCCGCCUGGGGAGUACGACCGCAAGGUUGAAACUCAAAGGAAUUGACGGC
RNAcentral lists this ribosomal RNA (906 nucleotides) under uncultured bacterium. Its description in RNAcentral is "bacterial SSU rRNA". It matches the Rfam family "Bacterial small subunit ribosomal RNA", at positions 30 to 917 of the family's 1533-position model. The record is from RNAcentral.